UUAACUCAAAUUUGUAUGGAGUAAAACAGCUUCUCAUCAUUUGCCGCUAGAGGCGCUGUUCCGACUCCAUACAAAUUUCAGUUA
This is a non-coding RNA of Bombyx mori (domestic silkworm), 84 nucleotides long. NCBI's taxonomy places the organism in Eukaryota, Metazoa, Arthropoda, Insecta, Lepidoptera, Bombycidae. The record is from Rfam.